This 325-nucleotide long non-coding RNA is filed under the name Salvia miltiorrhiza (redroot sage). Its description in RNAcentral is "long non-coding RNA (SMIL_LNC009254)". The record is from RNAcentral. Lineage: Eukaryota; Viridiplantae; Streptophyta; Magnoliopsida; Lamiales; Lamiaceae.
GCCUUGAGUCCCGUCCAAAAGGUGUCGGACAUGCCCAGCGGUGUCUCCAUCAUCUCCCCUGCCUCGGUCUUCUGCUUGAGCAGUCUCUUAUACUCGCUCAUGUUGUCACUGUACCUUUUGCGGGCCUUGUCUAACCACAUUUUUUUCACAUCAGCCUCAUCCUCAGGGUUCCAAGUAAACUCUUUCUGUUGAAUAUAUUGGUGAAAUUAAUAUAACAUUUUAACAAUAUAUAAUGCUAAAUUUAUAUAUAGUAGAAAUUCAUUUACCUUGAAUUCCUCAAAAUACAAGUCCUGCACCGUUGGCGGAGUUAACUUCCACGUGUACC